RNAcentral lists this ribosomal RNA (207 nucleotides) under uncultured bacterium. Its description in RNAcentral is "partial 16S ribosomal RNA". It matches the Rfam family "Bacterial small subunit ribosomal RNA", at positions 568 to 774 of the family's 1533-position model. The record is from RNAcentral.
CGCGUAGGUGGUUUGAUAAGCGAUAUGUGAAAUCCCCGGGCUUAACCUGGGAACUGCAUGUCGAACUGUCAGGCUAGAGUAUGGUAGAGGGGUGUGGAAUUUCCUGUGUAGCGGUGAAAUGCGUAGAUAUAGGAAGGAACAUCAGUGGCGAAGGCGACACCCUGGACCGAUACUGACACUGAGGCGCGAAAGCGUGGGUAGCGAACA